UUAGUUAAAAUAGCAGGUUUAACAUCAUCCCUCUCAUCUCAUUAACUAUCUCCAUUCUCCUCACAGCCACCAGAAACGACCUUCAACCACCUGGAAAACACCAUGGCAGCCAGCAGCUCCAAAUGGCAAGCAACAAACCACAAGAUCUCCACUAAAAUCGACUCCAAACUACUGUUCUCAUAGCUCUGAGUAGCGAGCUAAACUAGCCCCCGAACAAUCUGUUCGAAAAAUAACUCCGACCACUGUCAGUCAUUAUUCCUUUUCCAUCUCCCCUUUUAAAAAUUUUCCUUUGUUUUGCAAGUACUUCAGUGAGCUAUGAGCUCUUAUUCCAGCGACCAACGAAUCCGGCGAACAAUUAGCUGACCCAAAACCACCGGAAAUAACUGCAGAACCACCGGACAACAAGACCCCGACUCCCUUCACCCUCUUUGCCAGAAAACUUGAGCUCGAAGCUCCAAAUGCCCACACACAGAGCAAUUAAAAACACGACUACUUCGUGAUUCCAAAUAGGCCCAGCAACGACAAUACUCCGGUAAGUCGAUUACCCUUUUAACAUUGCAUUUUAUAUUUGUCUGUGUCAAAUUUUAAGUUCUUAUUGUUAUCGUUUUCAAUGUUACUGUUGCUUUACUAUUUGUUUUACAGUAAUUUUAUUUGUUUAAUAUUAUUGGUUCGUGUUUGUUUAAUUUUAAUGUUGUAAUGUCUGUUAUUUAUUUAUUUUAUGGAAUUAUUAUUGUUGUGUUAGAUUCUAUUUAGUAUGGCUUUAUUUUGAUAAAUACAGAUGUCUAUGAUUGUUUCCCAAUUCCUUUGUUAUUAGUUUAUCUUAUUUUAGUCUCUCAAUUUAUGUUUGAAAUCUCAUAGUCACACUUAUACUAUAUUAAGAUGCUAUUAUUCCUCUAAAAUUUAUUUUAUUAAUAAUAUUUUAUCUUUUUUCGGCUUACGUGACACUAUCUUGUGAGUGCAACGUUGGUUGACUUUUUUUAAGUCAGUGCAACAUAGGCCGAAAAGGGGUAGAAAAUUACUUAUAAAAUAAGUUUAAGGGGUAGUAAAAUCUUAGCAUAGCAUAAAUGUGUCUCUAGUUUUUCGGGCAUAGAUUGAAGGGGUAAUUGUGCAUUUUCCCAAUAUAUAUAUAUAUAUAUAUAUAUAUAUAUAUAUAUAUUACUGUUAUAGUUUUGGUCAUAUAUGGCUGCUAUUAUUUAUAAUGUAAAUCUAAUGUUCCAGCCACUUUCAUGUUAAGUGGUUCCAUUUAGUCAAUUAUUAUUUGCAUUUGUUAGUCAUGUCUCUAUUUUAGUUAAUCAUUAAUUGUUGUUUAUUCGUUAUUUAUCAUCUCCGUUUCUUUAAAUUAAAAUAUUACUGGUUGAUUGAUUUUAGAUGUUCUUAAUUAUUAAUUGUUGUUUAUUCUUUAUUUUAUCAUCUCCGUUUCUUUAAAUUCAAAUAUUACUUGUUGAUUGAUUUUAGAUGUUCUUAAUUGUUUCUAAUUAAGUUAUUAGUUGGGUAAAUCUUCAUGUUAAUUUAAAAUUUGUCGAUAAUGAAAUUAUCGUUGAUUUUGCAAUACCUCCCAUUGAUAAAAGAUAGAAAUGUAGUUUAUGUUUAUAUUUUGUUUGUCAAAUUGUCCGAUGAAAAAAUUAUCGUCGAUUUUCAAGGUCUCCCAUGUUAAUAAGACGAGUUUUUAUUUUUAAGUGAUUAUUUGAUUUAUUCAUUAUUAAUACUUUUACUAAGUGUUUGUGCACGGAGGUGCUUCCCAUUGAAGCUAUUCUAAUGAAGUUCAAAUUAUACGUUUUAUUCAUUAUUUUUUAUAUAUUGACGUUAGGCAAACUUAGGUCAUUUCUUAUUAGAUUAUUUCAUUUUAUUACUUGUGUAUAUCACAUGUUUAUUAUACUUGUAUAUUUGUUUUUAUCUCUUUCUCAAUUUGAAAAACAAACUUAGUCGGGAACCACAAAUGUGGAUUUCAAAGGAUGCCUAACAACUUUUAUUCAGAAUAACUUGAACCCCUUACCUCGAAUCUGUGUGUUUUGUAGACAUUUCUUUUAAGUUAAUUUGUUAAUUGUUUUUCUAGUUUUCCUGAAAAUUCGAUUUGUGAUUUCCUUUUAUUCUUUCACUCCUUUUUAAAAUUAUUUUAAUUCUCGAUUUAAAUUGAUUAACUAUAUUGCAAUUGAGUCACCACGAUGUGGCGCCCUCACAAAGAUGUCAACAAGUACUUCUUCCUCUUAACAAUAUUUCUUGUUAUGUUUGUCAUUAGGCCAAACAAACUAAAAUGUUGUUAUAUUUAUCAAGUACAAAUAUGAAUUCUCCUUUUGUUUAAGUUUAUUAGGAUGUUUAACAUGCUCCGAUUGACUAAAAUUCUUGAUAUCGUUAUUGUAUUUAUUUCUUAAUGAUUGCACUAAAUUCUUUUAGAUAUAUGUGAUUCAUGAAAAUUUUGAAUCAUUCAAAAAUUUCAAAGAGUUCUAGUCAGUGGUUGAAAAUAUUUUUCACACCUCUAUUUCGUAUUUUCAAUCUGAUCUUGACUGAGAAUAUGCUAAUCAAAAUUUUAAAUCCUUCUUCCAGCAAAAUGGCAUCCACCUUUCUCUUUUCUCACAUGUAUGCUUAAAACGUAGGGCCGAGAGUAAACAUAGACACAUCUAAUGUUCUUCGUUUCCUUAUUUUUUAUGUGUCUAUAUCUUUUAAUUUUUGGGGGUGAUGCUUGUUUUUAUGCUUUCUUUCUUAUUAACGUAACUCCUCUUCCAGUGUUGUGUUAUUAAUCUCCAUUUGAUUUUAUGGUCAUAUACCUGAUUACAAUCUAAUUCGUGUGUUUGGGUGUUUUUGUUGUCCCUUUGUGGCAUUUAAUAAGUGUUCUAAGGCCCACCCUCUAUCAAAACCAUGCUUGUUUCUUGGUUAAUUAGAUAAACAAAAAGAUGUUAAAUGUUUUUGAUCCUUGCUCAAAUGUUACUCUCAUCUCUCGACAUGUACAUUUAGCUGAGACCUCCUUCCCGUUUGGGAAUCUAUUUGUUACUCUUACGCUAACUUCGUUCACCCAAACCUACCUCAUUCUCACUUAUUUUUUUAAUAUAUAAUUCUAUGUCUUUUACUUCUCCUUUAUAUAAUACUGAUUUUGGAGAAACUUCAAAAAUGAGUAGUAGUUCGGUUCUUACCUAAUCAAGAUCACAUUUCAAAAGAGGAGCAUUCAAACUUCAUUGAUUUCACAGAUUUCCAAACAAAAUAGAAGUCUCUACACUCCUUUAAAUAUGGAGAAUAUCGUUGUCAAUUCUCUUCCUUAAACUAGUAGUGUUACUCCCAUCCAACUACUCGUAAUGUCAACUACGGACCCCUCCUCUAUUACUCAUGUUGAAGGAGAUAUUUCAUCCCCUGUCCCUUUCCUCGCAAACCAUUUGUCCAUCUAAUAUUCUUCAAAUAACUUCCUCACAAUCACCCAUCGUAAGUCCUCGAACUCAUCAUAUUGGGACUAAUUCUAAAGAUAGGGUUGCUCAAGCCUCAUGUCCUCCAUACUUAACAGCAUCCAGAUGUUCCAUUUCAUCUGAACCCACAUCAUUUUCCCAAGCUUGUAAAGACUUAUUGGAUGCAGGAAGUGAGUUUCAAAUUUGACUCUCUUGUGAAAAAUAAAACUUGGAUCUUGUUGUCGUCUCCUCCAAAUGAAAAUAUUGUUGGCAACAAAUGGGUGUUUCAGAUCAAGUUUUGGGCCAAUGGUCCUGUUGAAAGAUUUGAAUCUCGUUUAGUGACCCAAGUGCUUGUUUUAGCAGCCCCCGACGGACUAUUUUGAGACUUUUGAUCCUGCCAUUAAGCCUAGCACAAUGCGUUUGAUCUUAUAUUUGGCUCUAAAAAGAGUUGGCAUAUGCACCAACUUGAUGAGUCAAAUGCUUUCUUGCAUGUUGAGUUAUCCGAGACUAUUUAUAUGCUCUAACCGAAGAGAUUUGAACACGCAGAUUAUCCCGAUUAUGUGCAUAAGUUGCAGCUUGCUCUAUAUGACCUUAAGAAAUCUCCAAGGGUUUGGUUUCAUGGUAAUUCUCAUUUCCUUCAUGAUAUAGGUUUUAAGCAAUGUGUUUCAAAUAAAAGCAUGCUCAUUUUUCACUCAAGGGUAAUAUUUCUCCACAAUUUACUGCACAAUUUAUGAAAUCGAGAAAGGUUUGGGUUCAAAGGUGAGCUUAAGCACUACUUUUUAUCCUGAGACAGAUGGACAAGCAACGCAUACUAUCUAGACCAUAGGUGAUAUGUUGAGAGCUUAGUGAUUAAAUUCAAAGGGAACUGAGAUGAUCACAUACCUCUCAUUAAGUUUGUUUACAACAAUUACCAUUAGAGCAUCCAAAUGGCUCCAUAUGAGACUCUUUAUGGGAGAAGAUCUAAAUCUCUUACUGGGUGGUUAGAAGUUUGGGAAUCAGGGUUAAUAGGACCAGAGUUAGUUUACCAUGCCUUGGAAAAAGUGAAAAAUGAUCCAAUAGAGGUUGAAGACGGUGCAGAGUCGCAAAAAGUCCUACACAGAUGUUAGAAUAAGGCCGUUAGACAUUGAGGUGGACGAUUGGGUAUAUCUUAAGGUUUCACCCAUGAAUGGGAUUAUGAGGUUUGGUAAGAAGGAAAAACUUAGUCCCCGAUAUAUUGGACCUUAUAGAAUAUCCAAGAGAGUAGGAAAUGUAACUUAUGUGUUGGAGCUACCAACAAAAUUAGUAGUGGUUCAUUCGGUAUUUCAUGUAUACAUGUUGAAGAAGUGCAUGAGUGAUCCUUCACUUAUUGUACCUACAUAGUAUGUUGGUAUUAAAGAUAGCUAGUCCAAAAAAGAGAUUCCGGUAAUAAUUUUGGAUCGUUAUGUUCGCAAGUUGAGAACAAAGAAAGUUGCAUCAGUCAAAGUCAUUAGGAGAAAUCAAUUUGUUGAAGAAGCAACUAGGGAAGCUGAGGUGGAUAUGAAGAAGAGAUAUCCACAUCUCAUUGAAUCUGGAGAGAAUGUAUAUCAAGGUACUAAAUUCUCUUCUUAUCACUUUAUAAGACUAUGUGUAAGAAUGUUAUUACUUGCUUUUGUUUGUUGAGUGCUGAAAAAAUGUUACUACCCUUAGCUUAGUGAAAAAGUUCUUAUUCGAGGACGAAUGUUCCUAAGAGGGAGACAUUAUAACAUCUCGUAGACCAAAAUAUCCAGGAUUUAACAAAUAAACUAAGAGUUGUUAUUUUUGGAAGAAUAGGAAAAAUCUGGAAAAUUUCCAAAGUGCAAAAGUGAGUUUUUGGUCAUUUUCAAACAACCAUAAUUUGUAUCUCAAGAUUAGUUAGAGUCGGUUCUUAAUAUGGUUGGAAAGCCCUUGGAGAGUUAUUUCUAACACCGCCGGGUUUGCGCAUUUUCAAUAUCGUAUGACGGAGAUAUGUCUAUUGGAAGUUGGGUCGUUGGACUGAGGAGUCCAAUCUGGAUUUUGGUAAAGGUAAAGUGGUCUUUUCGCUCUACUAUUUCCUAAUUUUUUAAAAGGGGUUAUAAGGGGUAAAUCUAAGCCUUAAUCACUUUUAAAAAAGUUGAAUACACUUACAACUUGGGAGAAAAGAGAAAAGAAGAAGGAGAAAGGAGAAAGGGCCAAGAAUUUAUCAAGAACACCAAGAUAUUUAAGUGGAAUUCGUCAGGGUUGAGAUAUGUGAGAUAUUUUUGUGUUGUAUUCUUCCACCUACACAACAAUAUGUUUAUUUCAGUGCAAUUAUAGUAGAUUUAUUUAUGAACAUUGAAGUUCUUGAUGAAAAACCGUUGAAUUCUCAUUUGUUGAGUUGUAGUAUACCUAUGGUUAUUUGUUUUAUGUUUUCCGACUGUUUUAAGAGUAUAAACUAUUGGGUAUUGAGAAUUUUAGUAAUCAUAAAUGUUUGGGGUGAGAUCCAUGGAAGUUUAGAAGGUUUAGAAUUAAAAAUCAGAUAUAAAACAUUGGGAAUUCCAAAUGACAAGCCCUGCUGCGCCGCGUCUGCCAAAGCCCCUCAGAGCAGACCCUUAGGGCCUGGCGCACCACGCAAGCCAAAUCCUAUUGGGGAAGUGUUUGUCCAUCAGGAUCUGAAUCCCCGCGCCUCUCAUAAUGCUUGAGUUACAUGGAGAUCUCAUUUUACCCUAUAUUUUCGUACUAAUUCCUAAGUGAUAUACCUAUAACUCCUAGUUGAUUCCAAAACUCUAAAGUACAUCUAAACUCAUCCAUAGACAUGAGAUCAUGGUCCUUUAAUCCAUAAUAAAAUUCAAGAAAACUUCAUAUCAAAGUCAAAGAAGUUAAGAGUCAAGUAUAAAAGUUAAGAAGCAAGUCAAUGUGAGUUCUUAAAAUUUUCAAGAGUUAAACAAAAAUUUCUACUUUGUUUUAAGGAUCAAGCUACAAGUUGAGCAAUCAAUAAGGAGUUGAAUCUAAAUCUAAAAAUCUAUAAGGUAAAUUGUAUUCCCUGAGAGUUACGUUUCAAGUAAAGCAAAGAGAAAAGAGUGAGUUCAUGUCUUAAAAGCUAAAAGAGAACUAAGUAGUACCAAAGUGUUACAAAUGUUUUCAUAUUUUGAGAAAAGAAAGAAGAUAGAUUUCCACAGAGCUUUUGGCUUGUUUUAGAAAAGGGGAACUAUGAUUUCCAACAGAUCUUUUCAAGCUAAGCUUGAGCAAUUACCUCAAAAUAGAGAAAAAGUUGUUUGAAAAACAUAUGAACUAAUUAUAUUGGGAGUACCAUUGAGCACCGAUAUGGGGAAGCAAGUUCAUAUCAACUCAAGUCUCCAUAAACCAUGUAGCCAACAUGGACAUAUAAAGGAUCAUAUUUUUUAAAUGAUUCCUUAGUGUUUUUUAGCCUAGACUAGUAAAUUCACUUAGUAGUUCAAGUUCUAUACAAACAACAAGGUACAUGGCGGUCCUCUUGCAACGUGAGGUAAGACAUUAUACCAUCACUUAUUCUCAUAGUUAUGAUUGUUGGUUAGAAAAGUCCUAAUAAAUCUAUAUUACUUUCAUUUCAAGUAAAAUUGAGUUCUUUAUUGCAUUAUCUUUAAUGAACUAAGAUGUUGACUCUGUUUUUACAAGCUUUUCAUAUAUAUUCCGUGUCCUUACUGCUUUAUAAUGAGUUAGUAUUUCAUGAGUUGAGCAGCACCAAGGAAAUAUAUUCUUAAUCCUCUCAAACUUUAAGUUGUUGUUUAGUUUUACCAACUAGCAUACUCAUACAUUCAAUGUACUGAUGGUAGUUGGCCUACAUCGUCUUAUGAUGUAGAUGCAGGAAACCCAAUCAACAUCCAACGCCUUGUUGAUCGAGUUGAGCACUCGGGGUCAGUGAUGAGCCUCCUUGUAUUCCAGAGGACACUUUCAAUGUGUUUUCUAAUAUUUCAUUUAUAGGAUGGUGUGGGGUCUGUCCCAACAUCCAACUAGUAUAUUAGAGUCAGAUAAUUCACUUUUGGGUCUCUCCUUAUUCAGAGAUGUUUCAUAUUGAUACUUGAGUGUCGUUUUGGCCAGACUAAUAUAAUUGAGUAUUUCUCUUGAGAAUGUUUCUUUUUAAUAGUUGAGUUGAGCUAAGUCUUCCGCUUAGUUAAGUAAGCUAGACCAAUGGUUUGCUCAAGGCGAGCAAUAGUCAUUGGGUGCCGACCAUGUGCAGGGUGUAGUCUUCGGGCGUGACAUACUUUCUAAAAUAAUUUUUUUUAUGAUUUUUAAAUCCUU
This 7598-nucleotide long non-coding RNA is filed under the name Solanum lycopersicum (tomato). Its description in RNAcentral is "long non-coding RNA (SLYC_LNC000310)". Lineage: Eukaryota; Viridiplantae; Streptophyta; Magnoliopsida; Solanales; Solanaceae. The record is from RNAcentral.